AGAUACAUGGAAAAUGAGCGGAAGUAUGGAGUAUCUUGAAAAAAGAUUGUGGAUUGCCUGAAACAGUAGUAUUCUUCAUUAUUGUGCUUUAUAGGUAGUCCUUGACUUAUGAUCAAAAUUGGGACUGGAAUCUUGGUUGCUGAUCAAAGCUGUCAUUAGGAAAGACAUCAUGUGACUCAGUCCUCCCAAUUGCAGUCAUUAAACAAUCUCACCGGUUCUUCAGCAGAUUCCCAGGUCCAUUGGUUAUGACAAAAAAAAAACCUGACCAACCAGAUUGUCACCUGGGCCUAACAUCACUUUGGUCUGUGUUCAACACAGCACUGACUUGGUCUCUUCCUGGCUGUUUUUGCCCAAGGAGGAAUGCUUCAAUAUCAUCUGCCAAACUGUAAGCAGAACUUACAGCAAGCUGUAAUUAAAGAUAGGAAAACUUCUCAUAUAUUAUUAGAGUGAGUACUUGGACUUCCGGUUCCGGAUCGUGGCAUCUCUAGUCGCACGAAGAGACUCGUCCUCUCAUCGGCUAGUUUUCCCUCUGCUGGUAGACCCUUAUGCGGGUUGAAAGUCACCCUGGAGGGUGCGAUUCUGUCGACGAGGCUUCGCUCGGCUGCAGAGGAGUGGCAGCUCCUCCAGCUGUCCGAGCCAUCUCUGAGGGCCAACGGAGAAGGAAGAUUGGCCAGUAAAAUGGCCGAUCACCCAGCUGCUCCAAAUUGCAAGUCAAAGAACAUCUAAGC
Long non-coding RNA from Crotalus tigris (Tiger rattlesnake), 728 nucleotides. RefSeq lists it as uncharacterized. Lineage: Eukaryota; Metazoa; Chordata; Lepidosauria; Squamata; Viperidae. The record is from RefSeq and is a predicted model, not a curated record. The transcript has 4 exons.